CUUCCUUCAUAUUCCAUGGGCAAAGGGGGAGUCUUUACCCUAAGACAUCUCCAUCUCCAUGGAUUUGAGUUCAGCGGGUGCCUCUGCAGCUCUAACAGAGUCGGAUAAUACAAAUGCAGCUUUAACCAGGCCUGGCCAUGGCAAC
Populus euphratica (Euphrates poplar) is the source of this 145-nucleotide long non-coding RNA. RefSeq lists it as uncharacterized. The transcript has 3 exons. The record is from RefSeq and is a predicted model, not a curated record. NCBI's taxonomy places the organism in Eukaryota, Viridiplantae, Streptophyta, Magnoliopsida, Malpighiales, Salicaceae.